Thalassophryne amazonica is the source of this 235-nucleotide long non-coding RNA. RefSeq lists it as uncharacterized. The record is from RefSeq and is a predicted model, not a curated record. Lineage: Eukaryota; Metazoa; Chordata; Actinopteri; Batrachoidiformes; Batrachoididae. The transcript is spliced from 2 exons.
UGCUGGGGGAUGGGGGCUGUGGUCUCUGCGGGCUGUGAUCUGGGUCUUUGUGUGUGGAUGGUUGCGUGUUUGUGGCCGUUACCACAAUUCGGUUUUUGGGUGCUCUUAAUGGGAUUAACACUCUGGUAUUCUAGAUUAGGGUAUGGAUGCUCACUAAUUAGACAACAGACUGUUGCUGUCACUUUUUGUUCAUGUGUGGUUGUUUGUCCUGGUAUGUUGUAUGGUUGGGGCUCUG